Molecule: ribosomal RNA, 561 nt
Filed under: uncultured bacterium
Lineage: Bacteria
Description: bacterial SSU rRNA
Rfam family: Bacterial small subunit ribosomal RNA
Source: RNAcentral
CCUACGGGAGGCAGCAGUGGGGAAUAUUGGACAAUGGGCGCAAGCCUGAUCCAGCAAUUCCGCGUGGGUGAAGAAGGUCUUCGGAUUGUAAAGCCCUUUCGACGGGGACGAUGAUGACGGUACCCGUAGAAGAAGCCCCGGCUAACUUCGUGCCAGCAGCCGCGGUAAUACGAAGGGGGCUAGCGUUGCUCGGAAUUACUGGGCGUAAAGGGCGCGUAGGCGGCUUAGUUAGUCAGGCGUGAAAUUCCUGGGCUCAACCUGGGGACUGCGCUUGAUACGGCUAGGCUAGAGGAUGGAAGAGGGUCGCGGAAUUCCCAGUGUAGAGGUGAAAUUCGUAGAUAUUGGGAAGAACACCGGUGGCGAAGGCGGCGACCUGGUCCAUUACUGACGCUGAGGCGCGACAGCGUGGGGAGCAAACAGGAUUAGAUACCCUGGUAGUCCACGCCGUAAACGAUGUGCGCUGGAUGUUGGGUGACCUAGUCACUCAGUGUCGUAGCUAACGCGGUAAGCGCACCGCCUGGGGAGUACGGCCGCAAGGUUGAAACUCAAAUGAAUUGACGG